Molecule: long non-coding RNA, 13469 nt
Filed under: Pelobates cultripes (western spadefoot toad)
Lineage: Eukaryota; Metazoa; Chordata; Amphibia; Anura; Pelobatidae
Source: RNAcentral
AUACAAAUAUGUGUAUUUUAUUGCAGUAAAAGCUAACAGUAUUAUGAUAUUUACAGUUAAAAUGCCAUGCAGAUGUUGGAAAAUAAAACCAUUUCUCAAAUUCUCACACUUUAUUUAGAUUUAAUUCCUAUUACAUUAUGGUUCAUACAUACAUAUUUGAUGUGAAAUUAAAGCCAAAUUUUUCCUGAACAAAAUGAUAUAUAAUAAGUGCGACUGCACUUAAAAUAAGAGAGGUAAAUUAUGGGUGAACAGACAUAUAGCUCAAAUUCUAGGUUUUGAUUUGUUUCAGAACUUGGGCAAUUUCCUCCAUCCUUAAGAGGUUAAAGGAGGAAUGUAUCAUAUUUUAGUAUUUUAAUACUGCUAAUUUAGGUAUCUUCUGGGAUUCAGUGAUUUGAAGCACUCCACUAUUUAAACUGAUUUAGGAUGUUUAAGAUGUGCAUAAGAAAGGUAAACGUAUAGUGUUUUAAAGCUGCAGACAAAAUCUUUUUUAUAUAUUUUCAAUAUUUGUCACUUUGGAAAUGCCUGGGAUUGUAACUCUUGUUUUCGGAUUGCUUCAUUAUGUUGGUUACUUCUCAGCUUCAAUUACAGCAACCCAUUAUGGAGAGCUGUGGGUGAUCUGCCAAUACAAAUAUAUUAAAAGAAAAACCUCCCAAUAAUCUCAAGUGGUUUAGGACAGGUGUGCAUGUGUAAUUGAUAAAUAUGUGCAUGGAUAAUAUCAGUAGCUACAUGUUAUGGAAUUCUAAAAUAUGAUCUGCCUGUUGAAAUAAGGAGUAGGUCAGUUAAUAUACACAAUGGGGUGCUGUGGAUAGAUGUAGCUCUGGUGGUUCUGCAAAAAGGUUUCUUCCAACUUCUUUUUGUCGUCUUCCCCCUUCCAUGUCCUUGUACGGUCCUUGUACAUCCAAAAUGUUUCUCACUUUAAUUUUCCUCCUUUCUUUAUUUACAAUGUUCCAUUAGUGUGUGAACAAACUUAUCACUGUUGAAUAAAGAAAAACAAUGUCUCUCCUUUGGAACUGAUCAUAAAUAGAGCAGAGGUAAAAUAUUUUUCCAGGAUAAGGACUAGCAAAUUACAUAUUUAAAUAUAUAUAGAUUCAGUAAAUUUGCAGCCCACCACACACACACCUUGCACUACUUCCAAACUAUGGAUAAUUUAGGAUCCAGGCAAUCCAACACAUUAGAUAACCAAGCUCCCUUAGUCUCCCUGGUAUGAGAGUUAAAGGUUUACUUCAACCCCUUUGUUAUACAUCUCAUUUUCACUUUUCAAUGCUCUGUUGGGCAUUAGCAAUUAGAUCCCCCCCUGUAAACUAAGCAUAAACUUACCUGGAAUGCAGAGCCGGGUGAAGACUCUGCAAUGGUUUCCAAACUACUGUCAAUGUCACCGCCUCUCUCGCGAGGUCCAAUCAAAUGCUUCUCACAGAGAAGCAUUUGGUUGGACUCUUCUCCUUGGCCAAGAGUACAUGUGCACACUCUGAGACAAGAAGGUGAGGGAGAAAGAGGCGGUGGGAUUUAAAGCAAAAAUGAAAAAACAGUCAAACACUAAACAGAGAGGAGGGACACUAAAACUUUCAGUUGUAAGCGCUAUGCAUGUAAUUUUUGCACAUGAUUGAUUUAAGACAGCCUGAAACAGAGUACUGAGCUACGGGUGCCGGGGGUUUAACUAGUCCUCCGCAGAAAAGGGCAGAUAUCUCUGGAUGUGCAGUGUUUUAAGUAGAAACGCUGCACAUACAGACUCCUACCACCAUGACCACUUCUAAAUGCAGAAGUGGCUAUGGUGGCUGGAGUCAUCCUUUAGUCUUGCAAUAUAAUUUAGCAGGGAGGGAUAGUUUAUACUUUGUGAAUGAAGUAUAGCUGAUAGUGCCUAUAUCAUUCCUUCUACAACCAAGAUCACUAAUGGCCUCUUUAAUGACACUGUUAGAUUAAACAUUGAAAAUCGCUGCUAAAUUAUGUUAAUCUUCUUUUCUGUCUACGCUGACUGACAGGUGCAAACAGCAGAGUUUAGAGCAAUUAUAUAUCAGAUUGAGGGGCUGUGUUCCCAGAUAAAAGUAAAUACACCUUCCGACAGCACUUACCUUCUGUUAUUUUAUUCUAAUCUGUACUCACUUACUCUGCUACUGUUAAGAAUAAAUUGUCUUGCCAGGCACAUUUGUUAUUAUCAAUCUAUGUGUUUUAGUAUUGCCGGUGUGUUAGGCUCAUACAGCUGACCUUUGCUUAACAUGUUUUAUUAAUUAUCUACUAUAGGUGGAACUGAUAACUCCCUAACCAUAGCUAGGUAUUAAUUUACUAUCCACCAUGUGCAUUUCAAUACAAAUCUGGCUUACUAUCUUUACCCACUACCACUGUAUUACUGGGAGCUUCGAUGUGUCCUCUUAGCCUAUAUACUAUAACUGUAAAAUGAGGCAGCCAUGUCUUGGAGGAUAUAUCAAUGUAUGUUUCAUUACAAAUUGGAUGUAUGACGAUUUAAUAUGUAUCCCCAUCUUCUUUUCUGUACCCAACUUACCUAUGCCUCAAUAAAAGAAAGAUUUACAAAAAAAGUAAAUACAGGUGUGUGAUUUUCUAUAAUUUUUUUUCUCUCAAUUUCAGGGCUUACAAACAGAUAUGUUAAAUAUAGAGGAUAAGUCAACAACAAUAUAUUAAAAUAUUAUUGUUGUAUAUAUUAUUAAAUAUUAAAAUCUUGGGAAUGUUUUGUUUAUAUUUACGAGCUCUAUUCCAGACCACUUAUCUUGAUCAAUACAUGUUGGGUAUUUAACUAGGUUUUGCUCUUGCCCACUUUGGUAAAUUAGAUGAAUAAUCAAGUCAUAUAUAUUUCAAUGGAUUCAUGAACUAAAAUAGAAUUUUUAAUUAUGUCCGUUCUGGCCGAGACCCUUUCAUGACAACUGCUACUCUUCUGAAACCAUAAAAGUGAUAGAAAAAGAAACCAUAAGAAAAAGGUUUGUUGGAUUUCCUCUUUCAUAUUUUCACGACAUACAAUGACCCAAUGCCCUGUCUGGUGCCAUAUUAUACAUAUGAAAACCUGUCUGAAGCGUGGGCAUGGUUAGACUUUGAUGUGGUAAAGGGGAAUUCAGAUAUGUUGAUUUACACCACAGAUUUCCCGCAGAUAAAUUUAUGUGGAACGUUAAGGAGAGAAAUGCCAUACUCAUAUUACACACAUUACUGUAUGCUGCGACGAUCUCAGCAGACCUAGACAAGAUAUGGUACAAGAUGCACUUUAUCUCUGAAAUAAGCAGAACAGGAACCAGCAUAGUUUGAGCUCUUGAUUGUAAAUAGAUAACCUACUAAUGGAACGUGCAACUAUUGGUAUAAGUAGACCCUUCACCUAGGGAAAAAAAACAAAUUUGUUCCACAUUUAUUUGUAUUUAUGCAGACACCUAGGUACUUCUGUGUAUUUUGUUACACUUAUUAUUCUACAAUAUAACUGUAUAUUGUUUACGGGUGGUUGAACUUUCAUGGUAUAUUUUUCUUGUAUAUAACUAAUAACUGUACAAUAUUUGCUUAAAAAAGUUAUUUGUAUUGGAAUGCUAUCACAGUCUUUAGUUAUCCUGGGGUUUAUUCUACAUUCUGAAAACUCAACAGUUCGGUUGUGAUCAAUAUAUUAAAUAAUAAUGUUAGAUAGAAGAAGCAAAAAACAAAAACGUUUCUGAAGUAUGUUUUUACAGCAGAUCUAGCCCAUACCUUUCAACAUGUAAAAUAGAAAAAAGGGACACAUUAAUUUUAGGAGUGUGAGUGGGUGUUCUGCGAAAUUUUAGGUGACAUAAAAACAGCAAUUAUUAUUAUAUCUUAUUUACACAGACUGAUUUCUAAACACAUUUAUUGCAUUUUAAAGACACAUUACUGUAUUAAUGAUGUGAUGUUCUGGAAUACACUCAAGACACACAAACAAUACUGAUCCCCUAUGAAAGAGGGACCUUAGGACAGAAAAUAAGGGAGGGGGUCUUUUCUUAACACUUGGGACAAUUGGGAGGUGUAUAUGGAGCCGAAUGUUGUUACCUCUAGCUGUAGAACGACCCUAACCCAUAUACACAGCCUGCUUUAACCACUUCACUACCAAGAACAUUUUGUUUGAAAAAAUAUUAGCAUUAUUUGAAACAAAGGAUGCAUAACUAACACAUAUAGUACAAAAACUAUUUUGUGUACAUAUUGGUUUUCAGACAAAUUUAAAAAGUUAAAUUAUGAAAAUGUAUACAAUUUUUAUAUUUAAUUUCAUCCUGUAUUGACGUUUCUGAGGAAUGAAGAACAUUAGAUAGUAUACAGUGUCCUUUAUCUUGCAAUAUUUCUGAAAUAGUGAUAUAAUAGUAUACAUACAGAAGGGGUGACAAAAUUAAAUAAAUAAACAUGUUCAAAUAGCUUGCUUGGUAAAUAACCUACAGGCGCUACUAACAGUACAGCUUAUUGAAAAUGUCAGGAGAAUCUAAAAUUAAUGAAUGAGCAAAAUUCCAACACACAAUACUUCAUAUUAAAUAAUAUAUUUCUAAAAUAAAGGUAAUUAUCACUUCCAAUAAAAAAACAAACAAACAAACAAAAAAAAACAGUGUCAUCAAUUCCUUCACAGGUAUCAACAAAAAUAUAAAUCACUAGAAUAACUAGUAUAAUAAAAAAAAAGCUAUGUACAUGAAAAAGUCAAGACAUUGGGUCAAAAGUGGCUUAUAAAAGAAAAAACAAUAAACAACAAGAGCUUAGUGUGUGUAUAGAGAGGGACAGGAAUGAGCCAGUAACCUGCUAUAAGGUAACUGACAUUAUGAUUUGAAAGAGUCCACAUCAGCAGUUCCCAAUCUGUGCGCGAGGAACUAUGCCUCGUUGUAGUAGCCAACAGGUUAUAAAAGCUACCUGUGUACUGUCCAGCACAUGCACUCCAAUGCUUACACCUCGAUGAAGUCCACAGAAUCUGGAAUGUCAAAGGUUGCCUACCCCUAUACUAGACCAUUCGUUCUCGGCAGGCAGGUAUACCUCCAAGCUCUGCAAGGGCUUCUUCUGCGUUUACAACCAAUCACAGUUAUGGUAUCGUCACUGUGCCAAACUUCUGCCAAUGUGUUUUAUCUGAACUCCAGACUUUCUAACCUAAGGACGUUCUUUUAGGAGUCUGUUAAAGGACCACUAAAGUGCCAGGAAAAUAUACUCGUUUUUCCUGGCACUAUAGUGCCCUGAGGGUGCCCCCACCCUCAGGGCCCCACUCCCGCCGGGCUCUGGGGAGAGGAAAGGGGUUAAACUUACCUUUUUUCCAGCGCCGGGCAGUGAGCUCUCCUCCUCCUCUCCGCCUCCGAUCCUCCUCUUCGGCUAAAUCCGCAUGCGCGGCAGGAGCUGCGUGCGCAUUCAGCCAGUCUCAUAGGAAAGCAUUCAUAAUGCUUUCCUAUGGACGCUGGCGUCUUCUCACUGUGAUUUUCACAGUAAGAAGCACGCAAAUGCCUCUAGCCAGUGGCGUCUCUAGGAUUCAUUUUUAGGGGGGACACAUGGAGGGCCAGGAACAAAAGUAGGGGGGCACAUUUAACCCCGCCCUCGCCGCAGUUUCACCCCGCCCCUGUUGCAUGUUAAGCCCCGCCCCCGACACAAUGUGUUUUGUUUUUUUAAUAAUCCCUCGUGGAGGAUUCAUUAUUUUCCACCAGGGAUUAUUAAAAAACAAACACAUUACCCUUGAUAGAGUGCCAUAGUUGCCAACAUUUAAAAAAAAUUUCCAAGGACAUUUUGCAGCACAGCUAUCAAUUACUGUCUGGGUAUAAUAUCCCUGGACAGUCAGUGCUCUCUGUAUAAUACAGAGUUGUGUGUAAAAUAAAUUGGGACACUCAGUGCUCCCUGUAUAGUGCUGCUCUCUGUAUAAUACAGGUCUGUUUGUGUAUAAUAUCCCAAGACAGAGAGCAGCACUAUAGAGGGAGCACUGAAUGUCCCGGGAUAUUAUACAGGCACAGGCCUGUAUUAUACAGAGAGCAGCACUAUACAGGAAGCACUGACUAUCCCGGUAUAUUAUAUACACACAGAUCUGUAUUAUACAGAUAGCUGAGCAUAUACCCCAUGUCCCAAUCUCUAGACUACUAGUACCUGUCAACAGCAGCUCCCAGACGCGUGUAACAGGGCUAAAGUGUGCAGCAGCUCACACAGAUGAUUCAGCAGUAAAGUGCACUCGCUGGCAGAGCCAAACUGGGAAUCCAAAGCAGCCCUGGAAAAAAAAAUUGUGCCAUUCCUACAAGUCAAUAUAUAUAUAUAUAUAUAUAUAUAUAUAUAUAGUACAGUAAGCACACAAGCUCACUUACAUGCGCAAAUAGGCGUACUGACAGACAAAACUCUCUGACUCACACACAAGCUUACUACAGACAAACUCACUUGUAUAAACAGAAGGCUCACUACAAAGAAGUUCAGACACACACACAAGCUCACUGACACACACAUGCUCACUAAAUAGAAGCUCACUGACACAGUCAGUACCAUUUUAACAGAGUUAAGGGCUCCCGGGCAAAGCAAUGCACUGGGGCCCUUCCUACACAACAACUCACAGGAAUUUUAAUUAUUGAUAGACUGCUGAGUCCAUACACACACAGACUGCUGAGUCCAUACACACACACACACACACACAGACUGCUGAGUCCACACACAGACACACACUGCUGAGUCCAUACACACACACGUGCUGAGUCCACACACACACACAGACUGCUGAGUCCAUACACACACACACAGAGACUGCUGAGUCCAUACACACACACAGACUGCUGAGUCCAUACACACACACACAUACAUACACACAGACUGCUGAGUCCAUGCACACACACAUAGACUGCUGAGUCCAUACACACACAUACAUACACACAGACUGCUAUGUCCAUACACACAUAUACACACACACAGAGACUGCUGAGUCCAUGCACACACACACAGACUGCCAAGUCCAUACACACUCACAGACUGCUGAGUAAAUACACACACACACACACACACAGACUCUGCCGAGUCCGUACCCACACAGACUGCUCUGUCCAUACACACACAGACUGCUGAGUCCAUACACACACACACAGACUGCUGAAUCCACACACAGACACACACUGCUGAGUCCAUAAACACACACACACACAGACUGCUGAGUCCACACACACACAUACAUACACUGCUGAGUCCAUACACACACUCACAUACUGCUGAGUCCAUACACACACACACAGACUGCUGAGUCCAUACACACACACACAGACUGCUGAGUCCAUACACACACAUACACACACACAGACUGCUGAGUCCAUGCACACACACAUAGACUGCUGAGUCCAUACACACACAUACAUACACACAGACUGCUAUGUCCAUACACACAUAUACACACACACAGAGACUGCUGAGUCCAUGCACACACACACACAGACUGCCGAGUCCAUACACACUCACAGACUGCUGAGUAAAUACACACACACACACACACAGACUCUGCCGAGUCCGUACCCACACAAACUGCUCUGUCCAUACACACACAGACUGCUGAGUCCAUACACACACACACACACAGACUGCUGAAUCCACACACAGACACACACUGCUGAGUCCAUAAACACACACACACAGACUGCUGAGUCCACACACAUACAUACACUGCUGAGUCCAUACACACACUCACAUACUGCUGAGUCCAUACACACACACACACACACACAGACUGCUGAGUCCAUACACACACACACAGACUGCUGAGUUCAUACACACACACAGACGGCUGAGUUCAUACACACACGCGACAAAAAAUACAACACAAAGAAGGCUUCUAAAUGUCCCACACAUUUUAGCGUAGGACCCACCAACAUUGGGGUACUUUGAAAGCAGUGGUGGGCUUAACAUCAUAUGGCCAUAUGGUGGAACUAAAUCCCCAUAUUUAUUCUUAGAUAGGAAAUUUAGAAGCCUUUUUGUGUUAUAUUUUUUUUCGUAGUCUGAGUGCGCCGGAAAUAAUUUUUCUUUUCAUGUAUGAAGUUUGGUCACUGCGGCAGCACCUUUCAUGCAAAAUGCAGGUCUCGGGUGUGCCCCCAGUCCUUUCUCUGAAUGUGUUUAUCUGCCUGUAACUGUGUAUGUGUGUAACUGCCCGUACCUGUAUGUUUCUACCUGAUCCUGUGUAUGUGACUAUCUGCCUGUGACUGUGUGCAUGUGUCUGUAUUUAACAGUGUAUAUGUAUAACUGUGUGCAUCUGACUGUGGGACUCACACAUAGGCCUAAAAACAUAUUUUUAGCUGAAUUAAAUACCCAUCACACACAGCCAACUAACCCAGCAAAAAUAUCACCUACGACCAAUACAAGCAUAUCACACAGUCAAUCCACCCAUUACAAAUAUCACACAUAGCCAACACAUAGCAUACAUCAGUGGCGGAUCCAGGGGGGGGGCAACGGGGCAAUUGCCCCCCCGAGAAAUCCGACGGUCUCCCUCCCCUGCCAGCAGCACAUGCAGGUGCUAGCCCUGCAAUGUGCCUGCGGACCGGGGGGAGAUCAGAGCUCUCCCUCCCCGGUCCGCAGGCACUGUGCUUACAGCCGGCAGGGGAGGGAGGGAGGGAGAGAGGACCCGGGAGCUCAGCCUGCAGCUCCUCCGGGUCCUCCUCUCGCGAGAUUUGAAGCGUUGCCGCGGUUACCACGGCAACUUUUCAAAUCUCGCGAGAGUGAACUCUAACCCGGGAGCGUGGGCUAGAGUUCACUGUCCCCGCUGGGACCACCAGGGAAUCCCCCACUGGGAUCACCAGGGAUCGAAAUAUGUCCCCCCUCCUCCCAGUAAAGGUAAGAAGGGAGGGGGGACAUAGGAUAUUUAUUUUAAUUAAAUUAAAAAAAUAUAUAUUAUAAAAAAAAAAAGCCACACACACACAUUGCCCCCAAUACUGCCCCCCCCAUUCACACAAACUGCCCCUCAUUCACACAAACUGCCCCCCCAUUCACACAAGCUGCCCCUAUACACACAUACUGCCCCCUAUACACACACAUACAGCCCUCUAUACACACAUACUGCCCCCACACACAUACAGCCCCCCAUCCACACACACACUGCCCCCCAUCCACACACACUGCCCCCACACACACACUGCCCCCCACAUACACAAACUGCCCCCAUACACACACACUGCCCAUCAUACACACACACUGCCCAUCAUACACACACACUGCCCCUCAUACACAUACACUGGCCCCCAUACACACAUACUUCCCCACAUACACACAUACUGCCCCACAUACACACAUACUGCCCCACAUACACACAUACUGCCCCCCAUACACACACACACUGCCCCCAUACACACACAAACUGCCCGCCAUACACACAAACUGCCCUCAUACGCACAAACUGCCCCUCAUACACACGCACUGCCCCUCAUACACACGCACUGCCCCUCAUACACACAUACUGCCCCCCAUACACACACAUACUGCCCCCCCAUACACACACUGCCCCCCAUACACACACACUGCAACUGUUACACACACAUACUGUCCCACACAUACACUGCAUCCCUGACAUACACUGCCGCCCUCACUCACACACUGCAACCUUCACACACACACUGCACCCCUUACACAUUGCACCACUCACACACACCACUGCUCCUAUGCCCUACUACAGCCCCAUUCCCAGCAGAUCUCAGGUAAGUUGUCAAACUGUUCUUAAACUGUUUGACUACUUACUGUGGAAGGGGGUCCCGGCACUAUUGACACCAUAACCACUACACUGAGCUGUAGUGGUUAUUGUGUCUGGAUUAUUUCUUUAAAUAAUCUACAAGUGCCCCUCCCGAGAUCAGGCUCUGGAUCUGCCACUGGCAUACAUAUCACACACAGUCAUCACACCUGUCACAUACACAGAUAAAACACAAACAUUACAUCACAUUAUAGUGAGAUGUAUUACAGUGGAGCUCUGGUAUAUAAAAUGCACAUUACUCUGUGUUUUAUAGUUAGGGAGCUCGGUGAUACACUAAUAGGCACAUUACUUGGAGUUGUAUUGUUGUGUAGUGUUUGAGCUUGUCACAGAGUUCCACAUUACCGUGAGUUUUAUUGUUGUGGAGUUCUGUAAUAAACCGGCACACACCACAUAGUACUGUGAGGGCUUUUUGUUUCUGUGGAGCUCAGUGAUAAAUGGAGAAACAGCGCAUUACUACAAAUUUUUAUUCCAAAGAGGUCAAGGUAAAUAAGUAUAAUCCACAGCUCACAAGCAAAACCACACACAGUAUUGUGUGACAUACUUAGUCUGCUCCUCUGUAAUGUAGGGGAGGCAGUCUGGCACUUCUGACCUGCACUUCUGUUGGCUGCAGACCAUAAGUAGCGGUCUUACUAGCUCGGGCCAAUCAGAGUGCUGCCAUAGAUUACCACAGGACACUGCAAGUCCCUAAGCUUGCGAGACAGUUACGCAUGGUCUGCACUCAGUGGAGGGGCAGACCAGAUUCAGAUCAGCAUGCCCCUCUCCAAACUAGGUAACAACCAUAGGCGUGCGCACGGGGUGUGCCUGGGCCUAUGUAUAUUGAGACUGGCAGGGGAGAUCUCAGGAUCCCCCGUCGGCUCAUGCAGAGCCGACGCUAUCCAAGCGCCGGCUCUGCUCUCAGCCUCCCUCCCUACCGACCCACAUGCAGGGAGGGAGGCAGGAGAGGACCGGCGGAGCUCUUGCCAGUAGCUCCGCCGGGUUCCUCUCGCGAGAUAUGAGCGUUGCCACGGCAAUGCUCAAAUCUUGCGAGAGUGAACUCUAGCCCCACAGGGGCUAGAGUUCACUCUCCACUGGACCACCAGGGAUGGAAGCAGCAGGAACAAGGAUCCCACCUCCCAGGCAUAAGGUAAGAAGGGAGGGGGGAUAGCAAGUAAUGUUCCCCCACCUCCACCCCCACAAUCACCCACACACAUACAGCACACACACCCUCACAUACAGCACACACAGACAUAUACAGCACCCACAGACAUACACAGCACCUACACACAUACAGCACCCACAGACAUACACAGCACCUACACACACACACCGCACCCACAGACAUACACAGCACCCACACACACACACACUGCACCCACAGACAUACAGCACCUACACACAUACAGCACCCACAGACAUACACAGCACCUACACACAUACAGCACACACAUACAGCAUCCACAGACAUACACAGCACCCACACACAUACAGCACCAAUAGACAUACACAGCACCUACACAUAUACACAGCACCCACAGACAUACAGCACCCACAGACAUACAGCACACACAUACAGCACCCACACACAUACAGCACCAACACACAUACACAGUAGGGAUCGACCGAUUAUCGGUCUGGCCGAUAUUAUCGGCCGAUAUUUGGUAUUUUCGGCAAUAUCGGUAUCGGCCAAUUCAGAUACCGAUAUUGCCGAUAAUAUAUAACAGGACCGCCGGGCCCGGCCCACAAACCCGGCGGUCCUGUAGGCUCAGCAGCAAAGCGCGGCACCCACCUGCUUAGCUCCUGCAGCUCUGUAUAAAUCUCGCGAGACGCUGGCCUUGAAGGCGUUACCCGCAGACCGCCAGCAGCGGCGCUCAGCAGCGUACCGACGGGUACGCAGACUGAGCUGCACAAAUAAUCCCGCUAACCACUGUGCCGCUCAAAACCACUGGACCAGGGAAUACUAUAUCCCCCUCCCUGGUAAGAAGCAGGGAGGGGGGACUAAACAAAAAACAUUUCAAUAUUAAAAAAAUAUUAAAAUAAAAAAUUACACAAAUUACAUCACUACACACACACUGCACACAUACUGCAUUACAUACACACUACACAAACACACACUACACAAACACACACUGGGGGGGGACUAAACAAAAAAAAAAACAUUUAAAUAUUAAAAAAAAUUAAAAUAAAAAUUACACAAAUUACAUCACUACACAAACACACACUACACAAACACACACUGCACACAUACUGCAUUACAUACACACACUGCAUUACAUACACACUACACAGGCACACACACUGCAUUACAUACACACACUACACAGACANNNNNNNNNNNNNNNNNNNNNNNNNNNNNNNNNNNNNNNNNNNNNNNNNNNNNNNNNNNNNNNNNNNNNNNNNNNNNNNNNNNNNNNNNNNNNNNNNNNNCAUUGAUAAAGCCCUAUAUUGGCGAAACGCGUUUGGAUAUUUUUACUGUUUUAUAUACUGUUAAUAAAAGAUUUUGGUCAUUUUUACGUUUAAACCAUCAUCUUUUCUAUUACCUGGCUAUUUUAUAAACAUUUUAUAUACGUUUUAUAUACAUUUUAUACUAUAUACUUCUUUUAUUAUUUUUUUAAAGUCCUGAAAACUAUACUCCAAGAAUCCCAGGUGGGGAUCAUACCACCCACGCUGUUACAUAGAGCAGUUAGCCUGCCCUAUACAUUGUGAGUAUAUUUUAUCUAUUUUAUUUUAUUAUCAAGAUUUUAUUGAGAGCACUAUUGCUGUUUUACUUUCUCUCUGAGCUCCUGAUAUUCCGGUCAAGAUCACUCAUCAUAUAUCCUAGAAGCGGGGAUGAUACCGCUGUACGCCUAACCAACUAGAGCUAGUCAAAGCUCUACCGAAUGUGAGUGUAUCCAUCAUAUUUUAUAUAAUUUUUUAUACAAGUGUAGAAUAUACUGCACCAUUACUGUUUUUAUUUUAUUUUUCCCAACUUCGACCACCCGGCACUACAAAGAAGAGGACACCUGCCGUAUAUCCUAUAAGCGGGGAUAAUACCGCUGCAAGCUAUCCACACCAGAGCUGGAUUAAGCUCUGCAAAUUGUAAGUAAGAUCUUUCCUAUUUUUCACAUAUUUGGACUACUCUCCACGACACCGACAUCUUCUGGAUACCACCAAAAGUAGAACUUUGUACACGAUAAUAUACAUCCUAUUGGACUCAAUACUCAGUGUACACAUCGGCGCAGACCCAUCCCCUCAUCCUUUCUUGCUCUUUAUCAUUGAUUUUCAAGGACACUAGAGGGAGUCCUUGUUUGGGACUGCUGCCUUCCCGAUUAGCGCUGACUCUACCCCCUGUUCUGAUAUAUAUAAACAUGUAUUUACAUACAUAUAUAUAUGCGCCGUGUGCUUGUGCUUUAGGGUGCACACCCUAAUGCAAUAGGCUGCGCACGCCUAUGGUAACAACAGGAAAGGAGGAAUGAAUAUUUGUUUUUAAAUCAUUAUUAAUUUAAUAAAUCCCCUAUACAAUCACUACAUUCCUAUACACACAUACUAUACAUGGAUGACAGGGGGGGGAGCUGUGAAGGUUUUUCGCACAGGGCGCCUAAAGGCCUAAGGCCGGCCCUGCACAGACAUACAUAUUCUUACACAGAUACUUAACAGACUGACACACAGAGACGCACAUUUUGACACCGACAUACAUUGACACAGACAGAUAUAUGCAUACUAACUAAAACAUAACUUACAUAUUUUAGCCACCCCCUGUUUCCAUACCUAUUGGGUGCAGGAGGGUGGCUUCCCUGGAGUCCAGCCAUGUGAUCUGGGAGUCUGAGGCUUAUAAAACUCUGGUUAAAGCUCUCUGUCUGCUCCUUCCUCUCUUCCCCUACUCUCU